This 253-nucleotide unclassified non-coding RNA is filed under the name uncultured Halomonadaceae bacterium. RNAcentral describes it as "contains 16S-23S intergenic spacer region". It matches the Rfam family "Bacterial small subunit ribosomal RNA", at positions 524 to 776 of the family's 1533-position model. The record is from RNAcentral. Lineage: Bacteria; Pseudomonadati; Pseudomonadota; Gammaproteobacteria; Oceanospirillales; Halomonadaceae.
UACGGAGGGUGCGAGCGUUAAUCGGAAUUACUGGGCGUAAAGCGCGCGUAGGUGGCUUGAUAAGCCGGUUGUGAAAGCCCCGGGCUCAACCUGGGAACGGCAUCCGGAACUGUCAGGCUAGAGUGCAGGAGAGGAAGGUAGAAUUCCAUGUGUAGCGGUGAAAUGCGUAGAGAUCUGGAGGAAUACCGGUGGCGAAGGCGGCCCCCUGGACAAAGACUGACGCUCAGGUGCGAAAGCGUGGGGAGCAAACAGG